Molecule: ribosomal RNA, 518 nt
Filed under: Dione vanillae (Gulf fritillary)
Lineage: Eukaryota; Metazoa; Arthropoda; Insecta; Lepidoptera; Nymphalidae
Description: partial 16S ribosomal RNA
Rfam family: Archaeal large subunit ribosomal RNA (bases 391-518)
Source: RNAcentral
GUCUUUUUGAUUAAUAAUUUAAAGUUUAAUUUGCCCCCUGAUUAAUAAUUAAAGGGCUGCAGUAUAUUGACUGUACAAAGGUAGCAUAAUCAAUAGUCUUUUAAUUGAAGACUUGUAUGAAAGAUUUGAUGAAAUAUAAACUGUCUCUAAAUUAUUUAUAGAAAUUAAUUUUUUAAUUAAAAAGUUAAAAUAAAUUAAAAAGACGAGAAGACCCUAUAGAGUUUUAUAAUAAUUAAAUUUUUUUUUUAAAUAUAAAAAUAAUGAAUUUAAAGGUUUAUUAUUAUUUUAUUGGGGUGAUAGAAAAAUUAAAAUAACUUUUUUUAAUAAAAAUACAUAAAUAAGUGAAUAAAUGAUCCAUAAUUAAUGAUUAUAAGAAAAAAUUACCUUAGGGAUAACAGCGUAAUUUUUUUUUUUAGUACAAAUAAAAAAAAAAGGUUGCGACCUCGAUGUUGGAUUAAGAUAAAAUUUAAAUGCAAAAGUUUAAAAUUUUGAUCUGUUCGAUCAUUAAAAUCUUACAU